GUUGUCGUGGCCGAGUGGUUAAGGCGAAUGACUAGAAAACUUUUAGGAUCUUCCCGCGCAGGUUCGAAUCCUGUCGACAUCG
This 82-nucleotide transfer RNA is filed under the name Dreissena polymorpha. It matches the Rfam family "tRNA". From Rfam's summary of the family: Transfer RNA (tRNA) molecules are approximately 80 nucleotides in length. Their secondary structure includes four short double-helical elements and three loops (D, anti-codon, and T loops). Lineage: Eukaryota; Metazoa; Mollusca; Bivalvia; Myida; Dreissenidae. The record is from Rfam by way of RNAcentral.